This 350-nucleotide ribosomal RNA is filed under the name Pseudomonas aeruginosa. RNAcentral's name for it is "bacterial SSU rRNA". It matches the Rfam family "Bacterial small subunit ribosomal RNA", at positions 1179 to 1533 of the family's 1533-position model. Lineage: Bacteria; Pseudomonadati; Pseudomonadota; Gammaproteobacteria; Pseudomonadales; Pseudomonadaceae. The record is from RNAcentral.
UUUAAGUNAGUCAUCAUGGCCCUUACGGCCAGGGCUACACACGUGCUACAAUGGUCGGUACAAAGGGUUGCCAAGCCGCGAGGUGGAGCUAAUCCCAUAAAACCGAUCGUAGUCCGGAUCGCAGUCUGCAACUCGACUGCGUGAAGUCGGAAUCGCUAGUAAUCGUGAAUCAGAAUGUCACGGUGAAUACGUUCCCGGGCCUUGUACACACCGCCCGUCACACCAUGGGAGUGGGUUGCACCAGAAGUAGCUAGUCUAACCGCAAGGGGGACGGUUACCACGGUGUGAUUCAUGACUGGGGUGAAGUCGUAACAAGGUAGCCCGUAGGGGAACCUGCGGUUGGAUUAUCC